AAACCGAAUUUUCAUUUUCUUAUCUCUAUCUCCCUCUCGGGUCAAACUCCUCUCUCUCCCUCUUGGCUUUCUCUUAUUUCUUUUUCUCUUUAAGUUCAAGUUGCAGUUUUUGGGAUAUGGCUUUGAUCUGGGUUUAGAGAAAGAGAGGCUGAGAUGUGGUGGUUUGGAUUGGGUAGAGAGAGAGGGGCUGAGAUUGGCGGUGGUUUGGAUUUGGGUUUAGAGAGAGGGGCUAAGAAUGGCGGUGAUUUGGAGUAGAUCAAGGGGAAGGAACCUUUGAACCGGCCCUUUCGCUUUUCGAGUUUUUCCUCGACCAACGCCGAGUAGAGCAAGGGGCGUUUUCUAUGGGUAUCCGACCCGAUCUUCAUCAACAAUGCGCAGAGGAAGGACUAACGGAAAGUUGCCUAUUUGGGUUUGAGAAUAUUGGGGGUUUUGGUUUGUUUUUCCUGUGGGUAUCUGACUCGAUAUUCAUCAACAAUUCAUUUUCUCUCUCACACAAUUCAACCGGUCUGGAUUUUUUGUGUUUGUUUCCCAAGAAAAUUUACUGGUUUGAAGGUUAAGGUUUACUUUGUUGAUCAGUUUGGUUGUUGGGUUUAUUGGUUUUCUGGGUUUGGUUGUUUUGCUAGAGAUUUGGGUUUGAUUCUUUGUUGGAGAUUGAUUUUGCAGGAGAUCUGGGUUUAAGAGUUGUAGCUGCAACUGUAAUUGCAACCUCACCCAUCUAGGGUCCUAACCAUUUUGAAAUUGAUCUGGACAUUCUUCGAUUCAGCUACAUAAGGAAGGGACUUGAAGCCUUCCAAUAACGUCUAUAAAAUGAAAUACUUGGGUUUAACAAUCCAGGAAGAACUGCCAGAGCAAGUACUGUGCUAUUGGAGAACGAACAA
Molecule: long non-coding RNA, 878 nt
Organism: Quercus robur (English oak)
Lineage: Eukaryota; Viridiplantae; Streptophyta; Magnoliopsida; Fagales; Fagaceae
Exons: 3
Source: RefSeq, a predicted model, not a curated record